Long non-coding RNA from Gorilla gorilla gorilla (western lowland gorilla), 670 nucleotides. RefSeq lists it as uncharacterized. Lineage: Eukaryota; Metazoa; Chordata; Mammalia; Primates; Hominidae. The transcript has 4 exons. The record is from RefSeq and is a predicted model, not a curated record.
GUACAAAGCAGGCACCAAUCCAGACAGGAUGUAAAAGGCUUUGAUUAUCAUGCUAAGGAGCUUAUCCUGUGGAUCAUGGAGAGCCGUUCAAGGGCUUUAAGUUGGCGAUGACAAGGUUAGAGUUCUGCUUUAAAAAGAUGGCUCUGGUGAUUGCAGGGAGGAGAUCCUGGAGUGGAGAGACGAGAGGGAGAGUUUGCAAGGAUUAAAUUGUGGCACACAGAUUGAGCUCAGACAGAUGUUUGUUUAAGUAUGGGGGAAACUGGAAUUUCUACCAACUGUGUGAGGUCAGCUGGGAUAAGGAAGUCUUUUUCUAAACAGGAACAUCCAUUCUCAGGGAGCUAGAUGACAGAAAAAGCCACCGGUUCAAUGGACUUGCUUUUGUGCUGGAAGGGGCACGGAGCUUUGACUUCUCCUCGCUGGGGCUGCCUACAGGGACUUUAAAGAGGCAAUGAAGGUAAAAUGAGGUCAUUAGGAUGGACUCCGAUAUAACCGGUGUCCUUACAAGAAGAGAAGACAGGACACGCACACAAACCGAGGGUCAGCCAUGUGAGGACAGUGAGAAGGCGGCCGUCGACAUGCCAAGGAGAGAGGCCUGGGAAGAAACCAACCUUACACGUUGACAUCAGACUUCUGGUCUCCAAAACUGUAGGAAAAUAAAUUUCUCUUGUUU